GCUAUAUGUGGCCAUAGUGAUGAGGCCUUGAUCCAACAGGAUCAGUGUCCUUGUAAGAAGAAACACGAGAAAUCUGACUCCCUGAUGCUCUUCCCCAGCUUGAAUGCACCAAGGAAAGGCCAUUUGUGGGGACAUAGCGAGAAGGCAGCUGUCUGCAAGCCAGGAGGAGAACCCUCACCAGAAACCUCACAGAAAUCGGCCAGCACCCUCAUCUCGGGCUUCCAGCUUCAGAACAACGAGAAAACAAAUUUCUGUGGUGUCCUGGUUCCCAUUUGUAAUUGGCACCCUAAUGAAACCGUUUUCUGUAGCCCUGGAAAUGGCUGAAAAUGAGGGGAGGGAAAUAAAGUGCUAUAAUUCAGAGCAUGGAGCACACCUUCCUGGUUCACCUGAGUUGGAUUCGGAGAGGUAAAAUGGCCAUUACCUCGUCUAAGCUGCCACUUACAGACACAGUACAGGAUGAGGCCCAGGCCCACAGAGACAACGAUGAUGGCCACAGCUAAGAUGAUCCAGAAAUUAUUCCUCCACCAGCUCAUUGCAGUGGAAUCCUGAGAAGAAUGGAGAGAGAAGAAUGAGGUAUGAAUGAAAGAUAUC
Molecule: long non-coding RNA, 591 nt
Filed under: Pan troglodytes (chimpanzee)
Lineage: Eukaryota; Metazoa; Chordata; Mammalia; Primates; Hominidae
Description: long non-coding RNA NONPTRT006618
Source: RNAcentral